GGGGCUUUCGGAUAUUGGGCGUAAGAGCUCGUAGGCGGUUUGUCGCGUCUGCCGUGAAAGUCCGGGGCUCAACUCCGGAUCUGCGGUGGGUACGGGCAGACUAGAGUGAUGUAGGGGAGACUGGAAUUCCUGGUGUAGCGGUGAAAUGCGCAGAUAUCAGGAGGAACACCGAUGGCGAAGGCAGGUCUCUGGGCAUUAACUGACGCUGAGGAGCGAAAGCAUGGGGAGCGAACAGGAUUAGAUACCCUGGUAGUCCAUGCCGUAAACGUUGGGCACUAGGUGUGGGGGACAUUCCACGUUUUCCGCGCCGUAGCUAACGCAUUAAGUGCCCCGCCUGGGGAGUACGGCCGCAAGGCUAAAACUCAAAGGAAUUGACGGGGGCCCGCACAAGCGGCGGAGCAUGCGGAUUAAUUCGAUGCAACGCGAAGAACCUUACCAAGGCUUGACAUGAACCGGUAAGACCUGGAAACAGGUCCCCCACUUGUGGCCGGUUUACAGGUGGUGCAUGGUUGUCGUCAGCUCGUGUCGUGAGAUGUUGGGUUAAGUCCCGCAACGAGCGCAACCCUCGUUCCAUGUUGCCAGCGCGUUAUGGCGGGGACUCAUGGGAGACUGCCGGGGUCAACUCGGAGGAAGGUGGGGACGACGUCAAAUCAUCAUGCCCCUUAUGUCUUGGGCUUCACGCAUGCUACAAUGGCCGGUACAAAGGGUUGCGAUACUGUGAGGUGGAGCUAAUCCCAAAAAGCCGGUCUCAGUUCGGAUUGGGGUCUGCAACUCGACCCCAUGAAGUCGGAGUCGCUAGUAAUCGCAGAUCAGCAACGCUGCGGUGAAUACGUUCCCGGGCCUUGUACACACCGCCCGUCAAGUCACGAAAGUUGGUAACACCCGAAGCCGGUGGCCUAACCCCUUGUGGGAGGGAGCUGUCGAAUGUGGGACUGGCGAUUGGGACUAAGUCGUAACAAGGUAAC
Molecule: ribosomal RNA, 965 nt
Filed under: uncultured bacterium
Lineage: Bacteria
Description: bacterial SSU rRNA
Rfam family: Bacterial small subunit ribosomal RNA
Source: RNAcentral